Molecule: long non-coding RNA, 1212 nt
Organism: Brassica napus (rape)
Lineage: Eukaryota; Viridiplantae; Streptophyta; Magnoliopsida; Brassicales; Brassicaceae
Exons: 3
Source: RefSeq, a predicted model, not a curated record
ACUUAUCUCUCCUCUUUUAGAAAGAGAAAAUUAUCUCUUGUUCUCUCAUCCUUAUUUUUUUGCAGGAGUGGAGUUUUCUAGAGGAGAAGAGAUUUUUUUUUUUGUUUUGUAAAUAUUUGGUCAUAUAUAUGAUCGAUUUUGUUGUGUUUUCAACUCAAAUCGAAUCGUUUUUUUUUUGCUGAACUCAUAUUGAGUUGAUUAAAUAAAGUUUCCGAUUAGGUUUAAUCGGAUAGUCAUUUUUCUGAUUUGAAAUCAGAGUUAUGAUGAGUAGCUCUCUGGUGUUCCAUUCAUUCCAACUGAUCCAACUCCUAUCGAAAUCACCAUUCUAGUUGGGUAAUAUCGUGCUCGCUUUUCCGUAAUCCUUAGUGGAUGGAGACAAGUUCUUCGGGUCAGAGCUACGCCGAGGACGUGGGUGUGUUCCAUCUGAGUGUUGAGGGAGACUGAAGCUUGUGAGAGGUUGGCGAUCGAGGAGAGUCUGCUUGAAUUGGUACAUGAAGCUUCAAGUUUGAAGAUCAAUGGAGAUUGAAGAACCGCGUAUGAGACCCAAACUGAACGGGUUAUGAAUGCCAUCUUUCCAGAGGAAGGGAUGCUCCUUUUCCACCGAGUUUCAUUAGAGAUGGCUUACGCGGACAACUUUCUGGCAAACCGAAAUCGUAGCAAUCCACCAGUUAGAGAGAUAAUGGAGCUGGAUGGCGAUGAUGAUGAGAUGGUGGAUGGAAAUCAAGCAAAUUUAGCGACAGUGACUGUUUUGCAGAGAUGGGGUUGCUAAGGGACUAGGAUUAGCAGCUACGGUAGACGUUGUGAGGGGUAAAGCAGUUGGAAAUGAGGCAAACGCCUGUGAUAACGCUCUGCAACAAAUGAUGAAGUUAGCUAUUUGCUGCGCAGUGAAGGGAGUUGGGACUAGCAAGGCUGGCAAGAGGGCAACUGAGACUUCCUCUAAAGGAAGUAGCACGGACGGUGGGUGUUGAAAGUUUGUGACAGAGUGGGGCGUGGGUAGUUAAUGAAAUGGAUUGUUUUUCUUUUCUUCAAGUUCUUCAGUUUGCGGGUUGUGCUAGUGACAUGAUCGGUUAGGGCAAAGUUUAGCAACUGUUUUAUGUUUUAGUGGGCUACACUCUAUCGUAGCUUGUAAGGAUGCAGUAAUGGCAAGAAUUUUCAAAAGGUUGUACGGAUAUGAAGUAUUUUAACGGGUAUCUGAUCCUUUUUGUUUGAUAA